UCUUCAUGCAGGAACCACAUUG
RNAcentral lists this microRNA (22 nucleotides) under Macaca mulatta (Rhesus monkey). RNAcentral's name for it is "mml-miR-7186-3p". Lineage: Eukaryota; Metazoa; Chordata; Mammalia; Primates; Cercopithecidae. The record is from miRBase by way of RNAcentral.